GAUCAUAGCUCAGGACGAACGCUGGCGGCGUGCCUAACACAUGCAAGUCGAACGGAAGCAGAGAUUUCGGUUUUUGCUUUAGUGGCGAACGGGUGAGUAACGCGUGAGGAACCUGCCUUUCAGUGGGGGGACAACAGUUGGAAACGACUGCUAAUACCGCAUAAUACUUUCGAGCGGCAUCGUUUGAAAGUCAAAGAUUUAUUGCUGAAAGAUGGCCUCGCGUCUGAUUAGCUAGUUGGUGGGGUAACGG
This 250-nucleotide ribosomal RNA is filed under the name uncultured bacterium. RNAcentral describes it as "partial 16S ribosomal RNA". It matches the Rfam family "Bacterial small subunit ribosomal RNA", at positions 15 to 263 of the family's 1533-position model. The record is from RNAcentral.